GGGCAAUCUGGCUAUGACAUUUGUCACCUAAGUGAUCUCCAGUGUUAAUUCAUCUGAUCUGGCUGGCCAGGCAGGUGUCCCCUUCUUGGUGAUCCUUCCUGAAGCUGCCCACCUCUUGGAAGAAAACCUUCCCCUUACAGAGCAGGGCCAUCAUCCUAUCAAGGGCAUAGAGAAGAUGCCCUCUCCUGCUAGACCCUCUGAACAUAGAUCUGGAUGUGGGGGAGGAUUGCCUUGGAGGUUUCUUACACGCAACCCUAGCUGCUCUGAUGAUGUU
This 274-nucleotide small nuclear RNA is filed under the name Cricetulus griseus (Chinese hamster). Its description in RNAcentral is "7SK RNA". It matches the Rfam family "7SK RNA". Rfam says of the family: 7SK was discovered as an abundant small nuclear RNA in the mid-70s but a possible function has only recently been suggested. Two independent studies have found that 7SK RNA binds the CDK9/cyclin T complex (known as elongation factor P-TEFb). P-TEFb activates transcription by phosphorylating the C-terminal domain of RNA polymerase II. The record is from Rfam by way of RNAcentral. Lineage: Eukaryota; Metazoa; Chordata; Mammalia; Rodentia; Cricetidae.